GACCACCCGCUUGCGGGGAAUGGCCAUACGGACAGCCGGGUCCACUGCCGA
RNAcentral lists this small RNA (51 nucleotides) under Candidatus Ventrimonas merdavium. RNAcentral describes it as "Streptococcus sRNA SpF59 (ldcC RNA)". It matches the Rfam family "Streptococcus sRNA SpF59 (ldcC RNA)". Lineage: Bacteria; Bacillati; Bacillota; Clostridia; Lachnospirales; Lachnospiraceae. The record is from RNAcentral.